GACGAACGCUGGCGGCGUGCUUAACACAUGCAAGUCGAACGGAAAGGCCCUGCUUUUGUGGGGUGCUCGAGUGGCGAACGGGUGAGUAACACGUGAGUAACCUGCCCUUGACUUUGGGAUAACUUCAGGAAACUGGGGCUAAUACCGGAUAGGAGCUCCUGCUGCAUGUUGGGGGUUGGAAAGUUUCGGCGGUUGGGGAUGGACUCGCGGCUUAUCAGCUUGUUGGUGGGGUAGUGGCUUACCAAGGUUUUGACGGGUAGCCGGCCUGAGAGGGUGACCGGCCACAUUGGGACUGAGAUACGGCCCAGACUCCUACGGGAGGCAGCAGUGGGGAAUAUUGCACAAUGGGCGGAAGCCUGAUGCAGCAACGCCGCGUGCGGGAUGACGGCCCUCGGGUUGUAAACCGCUUUCGCAUGUGACGAAGCGUGAGUGACGGUAAUGGGUAAAGAAGCACCGGCUAACUACGUG
This 468-nucleotide ribosomal RNA is filed under the name uncultured bacterium. RNAcentral describes it as "partial 16S ribosomal RNA". It matches the Rfam family "Bacterial small subunit ribosomal RNA", at positions 28 to 507 of the family's 1533-position model. The record is from RNAcentral.